CCUACGGGUGGCAGCAGUGGGGAAUAUUGGACAAUGGGCGAAAGCCUGAUCCAGCCAUGCCGCGUGUAUGAAGAAGGCCUUCGGGUUGUAAAGCACUUUCAGUGGGGAAGAAAGCCUUGGGGCUAAUACCCUCGAGGAAGGACAUCACCCACAGAAGAAGCACCGGCUAACUCCGUGCCAGCAGCCGCGGUAAUACGGAGGGUGCGAGCGUUAAUCGGAAUUACUGGGCGUAAAGCGCGCGUAGGCGGUCUGAUAAGCCGGUUGUGAAAGCCCCGGGCUCAACCUGGGAACGGCAUCCGGAACUGUCAGGCUAGAGUGCAGGAGAGGAAGGUAGAAUUCCCGGUGUAGCGGUGAAAUGCGUAGAGAUCGGGAGGAAUACCAGUGGCGAAGGCGGCCUUCUGGACUGACACUGACGCUGAGGUGCGAAAGCGUGGGUAGCAAACAGGAUUAGAUACCCUUGUAGUC
RNAcentral lists this ribosomal RNA (465 nucleotides) under Vreelandella stevensii. Its description in RNAcentral is "partial 16S ribosomal RNA". It matches the Rfam family "Bacterial small subunit ribosomal RNA", at positions 338 to 795 of the family's 1533-position model. Lineage: Bacteria; Pseudomonadati; Pseudomonadota; Gammaproteobacteria; Oceanospirillales; Halomonadaceae. The record is from RNAcentral.